CGGGUUCUGCCCUGCGCGUGAAUGGCAACAUUCCAGAGGCCUUAAAUUUUCCUUUGGGAGCUGGCUCUGUCCGGAUCGUGGUCCGUUUAUCUGGCACCCACCUGUACAUACAGGUUCCCGGGAAUUAACUCCACACGGCUGAUAGGUGGUCCCGUC
This 156-nucleotide non-coding RNA is filed under the name Devosia sp. RNAcentral describes it as "6S RNA". It matches the Rfam family "6S / SsrS RNA". From Rfam's summary of the family: E. coli 6S RNA was the first non coding RNA to be sequenced, but its function was unknown until recently. It consists of 184 nucleotides that fold into an extended hairpin structure with a large single-stranded internal bulge. Lineage: Bacteria; Pseudomonadati; Pseudomonadota; Alphaproteobacteria; Hyphomicrobiales; Devosiaceae. The record is from RNAcentral.